AAUUGCAGAAUCCCGUGAACCAUCGAGUCUUUGAACGCAAGUUGCGCCCCAAGCCUUCUGGCCGAGGGCACGUCUGCCUGGGUGUCACAAAUCGUCGUCCCCCCAUCCUCUCGAGGAUAUGGGACGGAAGCUGAUCUCCCGUGUGUUACCGCACGCGGUUGGCCAAAAUCCGAGCUAAGGACGUCAGGAGCGUCUUGACAUGCGGUGGUGAAUUUAAUUCUCGUCAUAUAGUCAGACGUUCCGGUCCAAAAGCUCUUGAUGACCCAAAGUCCUCAACGCGACCCCGGUCAGGCGGGAUCACCCGCUGAGUUUAAGCAUAUCAAUAAGCGGAGGAAAAGAAACUAACAAGGAUUCCCUUAGUAACGGCGAGCGAACCGGGAAGAG
Molecule: small RNA, 384 nt
Filed under: Brassica napus (rape)
Lineage: Eukaryota; Viridiplantae; Streptophyta; Magnoliopsida; Brassicales; Brassicaceae
Description: eukaryotic LSU rRNA
Rfam family: Eukaryotic large subunit ribosomal RNA (bases 278-384)
Source: RNAcentral